Long non-coding RNA from Mirounga angustirostris (Northern elephant seal), 526 nucleotides. RefSeq lists it as uncharacterized. Lineage: Eukaryota; Metazoa; Chordata; Mammalia; Carnivora; Phocidae. The transcript is spliced from 2 exons. The record is from RefSeq and is a predicted model, not a curated record.
AACUUUAUGCCAAAGACAAGCCCAUCGCGCUUCGUCCUUUAAUAUCAGUAUUCUUAGAGAAUACUGUAUUCUUAGAGAAUAAAAGUAUUCUUAGAGACUGAUAAAAAUGGUAGGACCCUACGGCCCAAACUUCGCUCCACCCUGAGGGAGAAGAGCGAAGGCUUCGGGCGGGACGCGGCGGUAGAUGCUCCAGCCUGGACCCCAGGGGCGCGGGUGCAGAGCGGAGGGGCGAAGCGGGGUGGAGCUCGGCGGCUUGGACCCUGCGCGGCGGCGGGGGUGCCCAGAACUCAGAUUAGCGGCGCCGUGCACGGGAGCACAAGCAGGGGGAGCAGCGGAAGGAGAGGGAGAAGCAGGCUCCCCACUGAGCAAGGAGCCGGAUGCGGGACUCGAUCCCAGGACCCUGAGAUCAUGACCUGAGCCGAAGGCAGACGCUUAACCAACUGAGCCACCCAGGUGCCCCUAUUGUGAGGAUUGUUGAUAAUGCAGAACGUGCUCAAUAAACAUAGACGAAGCAUGAUCAGUUCAA